CCUACGGGUGGCAGCAGUGGGGAAUAUUGCACAAUGGGGGAAACCCUGAUGCAGCGACGCCGCGUGAGCGAUGAAGUCUUUCCGUAUGUAAAGCUCUAUCAGCAGGGAAGAAAAUGACGGUACCUGACUAAUACUCCCCGGCUAACUACGUACCAGCAGCCGCGGUAAUACGUAGGGGGCAAGCGUUAUCCGGAUUUACUGGGGGUAAAGGGAGCGUAGACGGCUGUGCAAGGCAGAUGUGAAAGCCCGGGGCUCAACCCCGGGACUGCAUUUGGAACUGUGUGGCUGGAGUGUCGGAGAGGCAGGCGGAAUUCGUAGUGUAGCGGUGAAAUGCGUAGAUAUUAGGAGGAACACCAGUGGCGAAGGCGGCCUGCUGGACGAUGACUGACGUUGAGGCUCGAAAGCGUGGGGAGCAAACAGGAUUAGAUACCCUGGUAGUC
RNAcentral lists this ribosomal RNA (440 nucleotides) under uncultured bacterium. RNAcentral describes it as "partial 16S ribosomal RNA". It matches the Rfam family "Bacterial small subunit ribosomal RNA", at positions 338 to 795 of the family's 1533-position model. The record is from RNAcentral.